Molecule: unclassified non-coding RNA, 352 nt
Filed under: soil metagenome
Description: partial contains 5.8S ribosomal RNA, internal transcribed spacer 2, and large subunit ribosomal RNA
Rfam family: 5.8S ribosomal RNA (bases 1-120)
Source: RNAcentral
GAUGAAGAACGCAGCGAAAUGCGAUAAGUAGUGUGAAUUGCAGAAUUCAGUGAAUCAUCGAAUCUUUGAACGCACAUUGCGCCCGCCAGUAUUCUGGCGGGCAUGCCUGUUCGAGCGUCAUUACAACCCUCAGGCCCCCGGGCCUGGCGUUGGGGAUCGGCGGAGCCCCCCGUGGGCACACGCCGUCCCCCAAAUACAGUGGCGGUCCCGCCGCAGCUUCCAUCGCGUAGUAGCUAACACCUCGCGACUGGAGAGCGGCGCGGCCACGCCGUAAAACACCCAACUCUUCUGAAGUUGACCUCGAAUCAGGUAGGAAUACCCGCUGAACUUAAGCAUAACAAUAAGCGGAGGA